AAGUAGUGAAUUCCGUUAUGUGGAACCCGUUGCGGAAGGGAAUUCACUGUACGCGGAAUU
Molecule: ribosomal RNA, 60 nt
Filed under: Neosartorya sp. SH8
Lineage: Eukaryota; Fungi; Ascomycota; Eurotiomycetes; Eurotiales; Aspergillaceae
Description: partial 18S ribosomal RNA
Source: RNAcentral